This 98-nucleotide ribosomal RNA is filed under the name Mustela putorius furo (domestic ferret). The record is from RNAcentral. Lineage: Eukaryota; Metazoa; Chordata; Mammalia; Carnivora; Mustelidae.
GUCUAUGGCUAUACCACCCUGAACAUGCUUGAUCUCGCCUGAUCUCAGAAGCUAAGUAGGGUUGGGCCUGCUUAGUACUUGGAUGGGAGACAUAAAGA